CAGGCUUGUAAAGCGCAAUGUGUUAUAUGUGUGUGUCGUACAUUUUUCUCUAAAUCUGUCUGCAUUUUACAGCGUGUUGUUGAUGUUGUUUCCUUAAGCAAGACACUUCACCCACGUUGCACUCUUGUUCUUUUCCUCAGGCCGGAGUCGCCGCUAAAGCCAAUAACUUCUUCGACCGGAAUAAAAAGUACAGAGGGGUGGCAUGGAGCAUCGGAGGAGAUGCAAGUUUAGACACUGUGACCACAUUACCGAGUGAGUUUUCCUUCACAGUUGUGCAGGUUUACGUUAGAACUAUUGUCGUCUGAGAUCUGCAAAUGCACAUAUUCUUUUUCCAUUUCACUUUCUAGACAUUUUAAAGAAGUUCAACCCCAAACUAGUGGGUUUCUC
RNAcentral lists this long non-coding RNA (387 nucleotides) under Neogobius melanostomus (round goby). Its description in RNAcentral is "lncRNA (ENSNMLG00000007286.1)". Lineage: Eukaryota; Metazoa; Chordata; Actinopteri; Gobiiformes; Gobiidae. The record is from RNAcentral.